Molecule: long non-coding RNA, 102 nt
Organism: Thalassophryne amazonica
Lineage: Eukaryota; Metazoa; Chordata; Actinopteri; Batrachoidiformes; Batrachoididae
Exons: 4
Source: RefSeq, a predicted model, not a curated record
CAUUUUGCAUCAUGUCCACAAAACCAAAAAGUAAAGAAAAAAGAAUAAUCAGUGGUUGCGCCCCUAAACAUUGUCUCCUGGUUGCUCAUGCAGCCUAACAAG